Molecule: transfer RNA, 66 nt
Filed under: Ctenophorus cristatus
Lineage: Eukaryota; Metazoa; Chordata; Lepidosauria; Squamata; Agamidae
Description: tRNA-Tyr
Source: RNAcentral
UGUAAAGAGGGGAUUUACCCCGUAAAUGGAAUUACAACCCACCACCUUAUACUCAGCCACCUUUAC